GGCUCAGGACGAACGCUGGCGGCGUGCUUAACACAUGCAAGUCGAACGAUGAUGCCCAGCUUGCUGGGUGGAUUAGUGGCGAACGGGUGAGUAAUACGUGAGUAACCUGCCCUUGACUCUGGGAUAAGCCUGGGAAACCGGGUCUAAUACUGGAUACUACUUCCUGCCGCAUGGUGGGUGGUGGAAAGGGUUUUACUGGUUUUGGAUGGGCUCACGGCCUAUCAGCUUGUUGGUGGGGUAAUGGCUCACCAAGGCGACGACGGGUAGCCGGCCUGAGAGGGUGACCGGCCACACUGGGACUGAGACACGGCCCAGACUCCUACGGGAGGCAGCAGUGGGGAAUAUUGCACAAUGGGCGGAAGCCUGAUGCAGCGACGCCGCGUGAGGGAUGACGGCCUUCGGGUUGUAAACC
RNAcentral lists this ribosomal RNA (412 nucleotides) under Kocuria sp. RNAcentral's name for it is "bacterial SSU rRNA". It matches the Rfam family "Bacterial small subunit ribosomal RNA", at positions 21 to 431 of the family's 1533-position model. Lineage: Bacteria; Bacillati; Actinomycetota; Actinomycetes; Micrococcales; Micrococcaceae. The record is from RNAcentral.